Molecule: ribosomal RNA, 116 nt
Filed under: Pteropus alecto (black flying fox)
Lineage: Eukaryota; Metazoa; Chordata; Mammalia; Chiroptera; Pteropodidae
Source: RNAcentral
AUCUACCACCAUGCCACCAUGAACAAGCCCAAUGUCUGAUCUCAGAAGCUAAGCAGGGUUGGGCCUGGUUAGUACUUGGAUGGGAGACCACCUAGGAAGAUCAGGUGCUGUAGGCA